AGUCGAGCGAGCGGAACUAACAGAUUUACUUCGGUAAUGACGUUAGGAAAGCGAGCGGCGGAUGGGUGAGUAACACGUGGGGAACCUGCCCCAUAGUCUGGGAUACCACUUGGAAACAGGUGCUAAUACCGGAUAAGAAAGCAGAUCGCAUGAUCAGCUUUUAAAAGGCGGCGUAAGCUGUCGCUAUGGGAUGGCCCCGCGGUGCAUUAGCUAGUUGGUAAGGUAAAGGCUUACCAAGGCGAUGAUGCAUAGCCGAGUUGAGAGACUGAUCGGCCACAUUGGGACUGAGACACGGCCCAAACUCCUACGGGAGGCAGCAGUAGGGAAUCUUCCACAAUGGACGCAAGUCUGAUGGAGCAACGCCGCGUGAGUGAAGAAGGUUUUCGGAUCGUAAAGCUCUGUUGUUGGUGAAGAAGGAUAGAGGUAGUAACUGGCCUUUAUUUGACGGUAAUCAACCAGAAAGUCACGGCUAACUACGUGCCAGCAGCCGCGGUAAUACGUAGGUGGCAAGCGUUGUCCGGAUUUAUUGGGCGUAAAGCGAGCGCAGGCGGAAGAAUAAGUCUGAUGUGAAAGCCCUCGGCUUAACCGAGGAACUGCAUCGGAAACUGUUUUUCUUGAGUGCAGAAGAGGAGAGUGGAACUCCAUGUGUAGCGGUGGAAUGCGUAGAUAUAUGGAAGAACACCAGUGGCGAAGGCGGCUCUCUGGUCUGCAACUGACGCUGAGGCUCGAAAGCAUGGGUAGUGAACAGGAUUAGAUACCCUGGUAGUCCAUGCCGUANACGAUGAGUGCUAAGUGUUGGGAGGUUUCCGCCUCUCAGUGCUGCAGCUAACGCAUUAAGCACUCCGCCUGGGGAGUACG
RNAcentral lists this ribosomal RNA (858 nucleotides) under uncultured bacterium. Its description in RNAcentral is "bacterial SSU rRNA". It matches the Rfam family "Bacterial small subunit ribosomal RNA", at positions 60 to 884 of the family's 1533-position model. The record is from RNAcentral.